Molecule: long non-coding RNA, 2230 nt
Filed under: Phaseolus vulgaris (common bean)
Lineage: Eukaryota; Viridiplantae; Streptophyta; Magnoliopsida; Fabales; Fabaceae
Description: long non-coding RNA (PVUL_LNC004899)
Source: RNAcentral
UACCUUAAACGCUCGAAACAGAAACUAUAUUGAAUGACUUUAAUUACCUGGUACCUGACUAAGUGGUGUUUCUAUUCUGACCUAGUUGUCGUACACGUGGAGGGCUUCACAGCGCCGUGACCCCAUCUGGGGACGUUUCUGCCCUUCUGGGGGCAUUUCUACGUGUGAGUCCUCCUGCUUGGGAGUGCUCCUGCUUAAGGGGUGACUUUUUGGGUGCCAACUUAUGCCCCCAAUCAUCUAGUCACUCACUUUGAGAGCCUAUCUGCCUUCCCCUCGUACCCUGCACCUAGCUGCCCUGGGCGUGACCCUCCCCUUGAGUCGUAUCUGCCCCAAAGGCGUCUCUGAGGCGGCAGGGGUACUUCACGAGUCAGGCUGCCCUUCACUGGUGCUAUCACUAUGGCCUUGAAGCCACCUUUUCCUUCUCUUUAUCACUGCCCCGGAUCAUCGGGACCUGAGGCCUUCCCACGGCGUCGCUCCCUCCAUGGUCUUUCCUACCCAUGGGUAUCGGGGAACCACACUGUGAUUGCCUUGCCUUAGCGAUAUUUGAUCUUGGCGACGCCCUGGUUGGGCGACGCCUUCACCUAGGCAACGCCUUGCCUUGGCGACGCUUCCUCUUGGCGACGCUGGAACUUGGCGUCUCUUCACCUAGGCGACGCCUUGUGUUGACUUUGACUUCAAAUGUUGACUUUGUCAACGCCCGGAUACGGGACGGUACAAUAACGUUCCUGAUGAGAAUAAAAAAGAUGCUAUUAAUAGAAGGAAUGGUUAAUGACCAAAAUACUUGAAGUUCUUCUUAUUAGUGUUCUUAAUAUGGAGGCCCAAGCCCAAAGCCCAAGCCCACACUGAGGCCCAAGCCAACACAUAAUCCUCCAUCAUGCCUCAGAAGAUAAUAAGAGCAAGGGCACAAGCUUUAAAUUAAUGAGCCUCAUUGGAUGUCUCUUUUUGUAAUUACUAUUGUGUAGUUUUUAGUAGAACUUUAAAAGGAAGUUGUAGAUAUUAAAUAAGGGGUGCUAAUGUACAAAACAAAGUCACACCUUCCAUGUGACAUAAAAGAGUAGGUGUAGAUAUAGUUUUAGGAGGUGCCAAAGUAGGAAAACAAGUCACACUUCUCAUGUGACUUGUUUUGGCUCCAAUUUUGAAUAGUCUAGUUUUUGAAUUGUGCCUUUUAAUUUUCAGCCCUCUUCUACUAUAAAUAGAGAGUCCAUGCUCUUGUAAAUUCAGAAUUUAGAAAUUGAAGAAAGGAAACUCUACUCAAAUUGAGAGAGAAUUGUGAGAGAUUUGAUCUCCUUCACUAAGUCUUAUCUUGUGAGCUUUGGAGGGCUUCAAGUGGCGGCAACUAGCACUCAUCUUGGAUCAUCAUCUCCAAGUGGCGUGUCCAUCUCCUUCAAGUUUUCAUCCAAUUAAGUUCCUUCUUCCUUCCAUAUCAAUUUCCAUGUUUUAGCAAAUUCCAGAUAGUUUGUCUUUUUAGGUGAUGUUCUUCAAUUUCCACCGAUUAUUCUUGUUCAUCUUGUGUUCUACUUUCAAUUCUACACUUAUAGCUUAAUUUGAUUCUGUAUUUGUAUCUCCAAUUCCUUGUGUUAUUUCGGUUCAUUCUGGAAUGGCACUCAAUCUUGAGUUUGGUUCAUCUAUUAGAAGGCUUUGUACUUCAAUGAUGAUUCCUUAAGUUCCUCCACUUGCUCCUAAUUGUUUGUCCAUGUUUUUAGCUCUUUAUUGUUGUCUCUCUUCACAUAUAUUGUUGUGUUCAUAUGCUGAAAAGUGUCUAUGCUUGAUUCAACUCACAUAAGUUCCUCUCUCCCCUGAUGUGGCGAAGGUAACAGUUGAAAAAGUACGAGUACCUGAUGCUCGUGUUCCACUACCUUUAGAUGAGGUAACCACGGUGGCCGAUGCAUUUCAGACAUUUGUUGCCUGUCCCAGACACCUCAUUCGAUUUAUGCCACAACCUCAUGUAAUAAUUUUAUUUAAUUAUAUUAAUUUAUAUUUAUAUUUAUAUAUUACAUAUAAUUUAAUAUAAAUGUUCUUUAUUUUGUAGAAACCUCUUCGGAAACCAAGUCUGGAGAAGAAGCAUGAGGUUCCGGUUGAUGAUCAUAUAGCUUCCUUAGCUCUAGUUGCUAGACAGAUUGGUCAUGAUCCUUUAGAAGUUCCGCGGGAUGAUACAUUUUUUCAAAUAAACACUGAACUGCCAUUGUUCAUGUACAACACAUAUUUAUUAGAAUUUGUAGCUGGGGAUCAG